GACAUAGCCAGUGCGUGGCAGGGCCUGGAGCAGGCAGAGAAAGGCUACGAGGAGUGGUUGCUCACAGAGAUCCGCAGGCUAGAGAGGCUGGAUCACCUAGCUGAAAAGUUUCACCAGAAGGCAACAAAUCAUGAGAACUGGGCGAGCGGUAAGGAAGUGUUCCUCACCCAGAAAGACUAUGAAACAGCCACACUGACAGAAAUCAGAGCAUUGCUCCGAAAACACGAGGCCUUUGAGAGCGAUUUGGCAGCACAUCAGGACAGAGUGGAGCAGAUUGCUGCCAUUGCACAGGAACUUAAAGAAGUGCUCAGCACUUCAACUCAUCCUGAGGCCUGCUGACAUUUUCAAUCAGCACUCAGUGAAGAACAGCUGCCCAUCGUUAUCUGUCUGGAUCCUUUCUCGUAUUUAACUUGUGCUCAUUUGGACAAAGACAACAUUUCAGCAUUUCGGAGAAUGGCCAUUAUGUUUUCUACAAGCCAGGUGCUGCUCCUUUCACUGCUAUGCUGGAAUGUCCUCUGUUAUCCUGUUAAAACAGGCUGGAUCCCACAGGAGUCUAAUAUGGGUGGUGCUGCUAAAAUGGCAUUUUCUGCCCCCCAUGUUUCAUCAUGGUUUCCUCCUCCGCCUACUGAUCCAGAUCAUCCUGCCAUCUCGUUCCUUCAUGAUCCAGACCCAACAGGAGUCCUCUCGAAUAGCAACUCUAAUAUCGAUAAUCCAUCUUGGUGGAAUCCAGUCCUCAGUUUUGAUGUAGUCAGAAAUUCUGCAACUCCAGAUUCUGCCUCCAAAACUUCUCACUACUCUGUCACAGUUCUACCCCCUCCCCCUCCAUACAUACUCAGGGAAUUUGAGGCCUAUGUGGGUAAUUUGAAGCAUGGUAAUUCAGAAAUGGAAGCUGAGGAGCAAAUGUUUAGUUCUUUUGGUCCAUCUCCACAACCUGUCUUCCAAGCUGGAGAGUUGAGUGAGUAUGAAUCCAUUUUGGAGUAUGGACAUGAAAAGAGGGAAACGGAAGCGGAAGUGUUCAUUCCCCAUUACUCAUUUCCUUCACAAGGCUUUUGGGAGUUGCCAGUAGUUUUUAACUCUGCCAGUCCCAUGCACUCAUCUUCUCAAUGGCUUCAAGCCAACUUAAAAUACCCCUUCUCUGGUCCAGUGGCCCCCCGCAUGCUGUCUCACUUCCAUUCAAUGUAUGAUGGAUUCUACUAUCCAAAGGAUUAA
Molecule: long non-coding RNA, 1209 nt
Filed under: Takifugu rubripes (torafugu)
Lineage: Eukaryota; Metazoa; Chordata; Actinopteri; Tetraodontiformes; Tetraodontidae
Description: lncRNA (ENSTRUG00000027634.1)
Source: RNAcentral